RNAcentral lists this unclassified non-coding RNA (363 nucleotides) under soil metagenome. RNAcentral's name for it is "partial contains 5.8S ribosomal RNA, internal transcribed spacer 2, and large subunit ribosomal RNA". The stretch from base 1 to 121 matches the Rfam family "5.8S ribosomal RNA", at positions 35 to 154 of the family's 154-position model. The record is from RNAcentral.
GAUGAAGAACGUAGCGAAAUGCGAUAAGUAAUGCGAAUUGCAGAAUUCCAGUGAGUCAUCGAAUCUUUGAACGCACAUUGCGCCCUUUGGUAUUCCGAAGGGCAUGCCUGUUCGAGCGUCAUUAUCACCCCUCAAGCCCCGUGCUUGGUGUUGGACGGCCGGUCGAGGUUCCCCUCGACCCCUCCUAAAGACAACGACGGCGGCCUGUGGUUCCCCCGGUACACUGAGCUUCUCACCGAGCACGUACCGGACGAGGGCACCCGGGACCCGGUCUUCUCCUCUCACGAGGAAAUAUUUUUCUAAGGUUGACCUCGGAUCAGGUAGGAAUACGCGCUGAACUUAAGCAUAUCAAUAAGCGGAGGA